Molecule: long non-coding RNA, 1789 nt
Organism: Pseudopipra pipra
Lineage: Eukaryota; Metazoa; Chordata; Aves; Passeriformes; Pipridae
Exons: 3
Source: RefSeq, a predicted model, not a curated record
UCUUUCACAUGCUGUAGCAAUCAGAGAGAAGACACAAAUGUUCCAAAGUGAUGCUUGCGGAAUACUGCAAAACUACUGGGACAAAACAUGUAUAAAUAUAGAAGGAGAAAAUUUGGUCCUACUUAGACCUGUUUAAAGGGGAAUCUAUCCAUAUGGCAGUGAUCUAUCAAUCAAAUUAACAGUAAAAGAAAUCUAGAAGACAACAAAAUACAACAAUCACAAUACUACUCAAGUCGAAAUAGCCAUCCAUCCUUUUGAGGUCCUUUCAGUUUUGGAUAAAAUGAUUUUUGUCAGACCUGCACAUGCUGUUAGAGUUUUCUAAUUUCUUACCUCAAUUUGGAUUCUCCAAGUCUGAUCCAUAUAUACACACUACCUUUGGAAGCCACAAGCUGAACUAGAGCCAUUCAAUUCUGUUUUGACCGCCUUUGGAAGGCUGGUAAUUUCAUUUUACAAUGUUUUUUCUAAUUCGGGUACUCCUAGUCAUGAUAAGAGCCGUCUCACAAACUUGUAGAUCUGUGUUUUGAGUUGCUUUUCCUUCUUAUUCACUUACCCCUUGGGUAUUUGGAAUCAUGUUUGCUAUUAUAACCAAGGUCCUGCUUAGGAUGGUGUAUCAGGGGUUAAUUAUGCUGAUACUUUUGGUCUGUGUUUGGCCCCGCCACCUGUGAAAGUUUUACUCUUUCCCUGCCAAGUUAUGGGAAAACAAGCACUGAUAAACGGGAAACUUGUCCUUGAAGAGAGCUUCUUGUGUAAACUGUUUUAAUUGGUGUUCUGUGAUUGGCUAAUUGUCCUCCAAGGUUGCUUGAAGGAGAAUUUGAGGAGGAGGAGAAUGAAGUAGCGCCCCCAGACACAAUUAAGAAAGACUCCCAAAGCAUACUGCACGUGCGUUAGGGGAUUUCCAAAGUUCUCACGCAUGCGCAGAAGAGAUGCACUUAGAUAACCGGGAGGUGGGACUGAGGACCUCGGGCUGGGCGGUGCUGGCCACACCUGGGAGGUUGUGGUCACUCAGUUAAUUGUAUAAAAGUAGAUAGUGCUUUCUUGGAGGGGAGCUAGCUUUACUUCAAGGACAACGUUGUCUUUUGGCGGGGACGCCUGCCAGUUUCUGAACUUACUGACUCUCCAAGGAUGCAGCUUCUGCUAUGGCCUUGUUUACUUCUCCUCUGACCUGGAUCUCAUCUCAGGAAUUCUUGUCACAGUCCAAAAGCUUUCUGUGAUGAUGCAUCAGAUGAUCGAGGACCGCAAUGGAUACCUUCGCAUUAUGUGCGACCUUGUCUUGCAUCAUCUUCAUAACAACAGCCAUGCCUCCUGACUGGACCACCUUUGAUCAGCAGAACGUCUGGGUGACACUCGCCAAUGCGACUGGGACUGAAACAUUGUGUUUGUCUGUAGCUACCCCAACUGAUCCAUUUUGUACCUGCUUAGUAGGCCUUCCUUUCAAUCACAACCAAUGGAUUACCUUUCUACACAAAUAUUGGCCACAGUGCUCUAAUUGUCACAAGGCAGUAUCAUUACAAUGUGCUAAUAAUCGAAAUCUUAAAAAUAAAUUUCCUCAAAUUCCAGUUGAACCUCAAGAAAUUAAUGUCAUGGUCAGUCUGACUGCACCUUUCUGUUUUCAAUUCAAUCCCUCAGAUUCAAAUUCAAAUCAUCAUUUGGCAAUUGAUGUAUCUCCAUCUGGAACAUAUCAAAAUGCUAGGUUUUGGUGUAAAUCACCCAAUUCUACAGCAAUCAGAUUAGGGGCAACGCCUCUUGGCUUGCCCAAUGGUAUUUUCUUAAUUUAUGGGCAGCGAGUGUG